RNAcentral lists this long non-coding RNA (304 nucleotides) under Homo sapiens (human). Its description in RNAcentral is "HSALNT0312171". The record is from RNAcentral. Lineage: Eukaryota; Metazoa; Chordata; Mammalia; Primates; Hominidae.
AGUUUCACUAGCUUUGUGAAAUGCCAAACAAAAUGAAUCAGAUAGAUCCUUUGGUAGGAAAGUAAACUCUCUCUACGUAGCUCAAGAGAAAAAUUAAUUGAGUUAUUGAGAAUAAAUAUCUUUCUGUACCUAAAUCUUUGUGCUUCUAUUUCUUGGUCUAUCAAUGAUGAAGGCUUUCAAUGGAGAAUUUCCUAAGGCAAGGUUCCUCAAUCUCAGCACUUUUGACCUUUUUGACUGGAGAAUUCCUUGUUGUGGGGCCCCUCCUGUACAUUGCAGGAUGUUUAGAGCAUCCCUGGCUUCUAAC